RNAcentral lists this long non-coding RNA (649 nucleotides) under Monodelphis domestica (gray short-tailed opossum). RNAcentral describes it as "lncRNA (ENSMODG00000042740.1)". The record is from RNAcentral. Lineage: Eukaryota; Metazoa; Chordata; Mammalia; Didelphimorphia; Didelphidae.
UUAGCUUACAUGAACUCCAGAAAGGUGUGAGCAAAUGGUCUCCAUUCACAAAAAACUAGCAAGUGGAAAAACUUGGAUUCAGACCUGGAUCUUAUGACUCCCGAGUCCUUUUAGCCAUGCUCUCCUGAUACUGACCCUUCUUUGAAUCAUCAUGGGAAGAGUCUACAAGAGAUUCACUGGCCCUUUCUCUGGCUUUCAAGUAAAUAAGGACUUAUUUUCUUCAUUUUGCAUAAGAGCAUUCUUCCAGAUGAUUGAGUGUCAUGGAAUAUUUGAGUUUCUGAAAAAUCAAAAUUGAAGGUGAUCCAAUAGGCAAUGGAGAAACAAGUGGCAAGCAUGAGUAGCAUAUAAUAUGUUAUAGUGAAUUUUGAAGCAGAAGCAGAGUAACACAUGGCAUUGGAAAAAAAAAAAGAUUGACUGGUCAUUUUGUCAGUCAUGGAUAAUCACUGAACAGCCCAUGGACUCCUAUUCCCUCGCUCAAGAAAAAAGAGGAAGGUCACAAGUAUGUUGGAUGAGUCCCUGCUCUGACUCAAACUUGGAGGUAAAAAUUGGAAAAAGUCACACAGGAGAGUACCCAAGAAAUUUACUCUGGAUAAAUGAGAUAAAUUAUGUCAUACUUCCAAACCUGUUUGGCACACAAGAAAUCUCAUGA